RNAcentral lists this ribosomal RNA (543 nucleotides) under Fusarium graminearum. Its description in RNAcentral is "eukaryotic LSU rRNA". The stretch from base 187 to 340 matches the Rfam family "5.8S ribosomal RNA". The record is from RNAcentral. Lineage: Eukaryota; Fungi; Ascomycota; Sordariomycetes; Hypocreales; Nectriaceae.
AAAGUUAUGUCUCGUUGGUGACCAGCGGAGGGUCAUUACCGAGUUUACAACUCCCAAACCCCUGUGAACAUACCUUAUGUUGCCUCGGCGGAUCAGCCCGCGCCCCGUAAAAAGGGACGGCCCGCCGCAGGAACCCUAAACUCUGUUUUUAGUGGAACUUCUGAGUAUAAAAAACAAAUAAAUCAAAACUUUCAACAACGGAUCUCUUGGUUCUGGCAUCGAUGAAGAACGCAGCAAAAUGCGAUAAGUAAUGUGAAUUGCAGAAUUCAGUGAAUCAUCGAAUCUUUGAACGCACAUUGCGCCCGCCAGUAUUCUGGCGGGCAUGCCUGUUCGAGCGUCAUUUCAACCCUCAAGCCCAGCUUGGUGUUGGGAGCUGCAGUCCUGCUGCACUCCCCAAAUACAUUGGCGGUCACGUCGAGCUUCCAUAGCGUAGUAAUUUACACAUCGUUACUGGUAAUCGUCGCGGCCACGCCGUUAAACCCCAACUUCUGAAUGUUGACCUCGGAUCAGGUAGGAAUACCCGCUGAACUUAAGCAUAUCAUA